This 21-nucleotide non-coding RNA is filed under the name Caenorhabditis elegans. The record is from RNAcentral. Lineage: Eukaryota; Metazoa; Nematoda; Chromadorea; Rhabditida; Rhabditidae.
UAGGUGAAGUAUACCUUCAAU